AACGUAGGUGGCGAGCGUUAUCCGGAUUUACUGGGCGUAAAGGGUGUGCAGGCGGGCUGUUAAGUGGUGUAUGAAAUAUCCCGGCUCAACCGGGAGAGGUUAUGCCAGACUGGCAGUCUAGAGAGCGAGAGAGGGACGUGGAAUUCCGGGUGUAGUGGUGAAAUGCGUAGAGAUCCGGAGGAACCCCAGAGGCGAAGGCGGCGUCCUGGACCGACAUUGACGCUGAUGAGCGAAAGCUAGGGGAGCAAACGGG
RNAcentral lists this ribosomal RNA (253 nucleotides) under uncultured bacterium. RNAcentral describes it as "partial 16S ribosomal RNA". It matches the Rfam family "Bacterial small subunit ribosomal RNA", at positions 524 to 776 of the family's 1533-position model. The record is from RNAcentral.